CAUGCAAGUCGAGCGAGAAAGUUGGCUUCGGCCGACGAGUACAGCGGCGAACGGGUGAGUAACACGUGGGUAACCUGCCUGGGAGCGGGGGAUAACUUCGGGAAACUGGAGCUAAUACCGCAUACGCUUCGAGGGCUUAGGCUCGAGGAGGAAAGCUGGCCACUACAUGUAAGCUGGCUCUCCCAGAGGGGCCCGCGUUCGAUUAGCUUGUUGGUGGGGUAAUGGCCUACCAAGGCUGCGAUCGAUAGCCGGCCUGAGAGGGUGAUCGGCCACACUGGGACUGAGACACGGCCCAGACUCCUACGGGAGGCAGCAGUGGGGAAUAUUGGACAAUGGGCGCAAGCCUGAUCCAGCAACGCCGCGUGGAGGAUGAAGGCUUUCGGGUCGUAAACUCCUGUCAGGUGGGACGAAAAGGCGUCGUCGAAUAAGCGGCGCUGCUGACGGUACCACCAGAGGAAGCCCCGGCUAACUCCGUGCCAGCAGCCGCGGUAAUACGGAGGGGGCGAGCGUUAUUCGGAAUUACUGGGCCGUAAAGGGCGCGUAGGCGGCCAGAUAAGUCAAAGUGAAAUCCCUCGGCUCAACCGAGGAACUGCCUCUGAAACUAUCUGGCUAGAGCUGGGAGAAG
RNAcentral lists this ribosomal RNA (625 nucleotides) under uncultured bacterium. RNAcentral's name for it is "bacterial SSU rRNA". It matches the Rfam family "Bacterial small subunit ribosomal RNA", at positions 54 to 656 of the family's 1533-position model. The record is from RNAcentral.